Molecule: long non-coding RNA, 1104 nt
Filed under: Homo sapiens (human)
Lineage: Eukaryota; Metazoa; Chordata; Mammalia; Primates; Hominidae
Description: non-protein coding lnc-MAP2K4-3:2
Source: RNAcentral
AGUAAUUUGCUUGGGUCCUCUUCUAAUGUGUGGCAGGUUUGUUUUUUCGCUCUUUGCAAUUAAAUCUUGCCAUUGCUCACUCUUUGGGUCCACACUGCUUUUAUGAGCUGUAACACUCACCGCGAAGGUCUGCAGCCUCGCUGCUGAAGCCAGCGAGACCACGAACCCACCGGGAGGAACGAACAACUACAGCUGCGCCGCCUUAAGAGCUGUAACACCGCGAAGGUCUGCAGCUUCACUUCUGAGCCAGCGAGACCACGAACCCACUAGAAGGAAGAAACUCCGGACAUGCCCCCUUUAAGAACUGUUAACACUCAGCGCGAGGGUCCGAGGCUUCUUUCUUGAAGUCAGUGAGACCAAGAACCCACCAAUUCUGGACACAGUGACAAGGAAAAGACAGCGGUAAUUGCCACAUUGAGUGAACCAAGUUUCUAAAUGGCUGGCAUUUGCAUAUUAAAGGUUGCCUGCCCGGCCCUUCAAGCCACCUUUUCUGUUAGAAAAGAGAUGGUUCGGGGCUGUUUUUUUAUUACAGGAAAAUUUCCUCCGAGAACCUUUACCCUGAGUAGCUGCCUGGAAAUUAUUUCUUAAGAACACCUGUAUCACCAGCCUGCAUCUCCCUCAAAGCAGAACCUGAGAUAAAAAGGCUUCUGUAUGAACAGCCUCUCUGAGUAUUUGAGUAAAGAACAAAGGCCGUUUUGGGGGAAGUCGGACCUGAAUGGGUCUUGGUGCACAAGAAGCUGAGAAAGCAGGAGAGAAGAAUCCAGAGGAAAAAGAGGGAUUCACACAGGAGCUGGUUCUCACUAUGUUUGAAUGAGAGUGCAGGCCAAACCACAGUCAACUCUGAAUCCUUGUAAAAAACCUCCCUAGCUCGGCUGUUGAGGAGUGCUACAGGUCUGGCAACCCUGUGAGAGAUGAAAUUCACAUUAAAACUAUUUAGCAAACCAAACGAUGGCUAUGUAACCUUGUCUUGGUCUCCACUUAGAGGCAGAAUCUCAGUGCUUUCUGAAAGUUCUUAGGAGGCCUGUAGCUACAUCUGCAGUGGUGCCAAAUCUCCAUAUGAAACCAGAACAAUUCAAUCGCUUAUUCACAGUCUAGAUGUUUGCA